CCUANGGGAGGCAGCAACUAGGAAUAUUGCACAAUGGACGAAAGUCUGAUGCAGCGACACCGCGUGGAGGAUGAAGGUCUUCGGAUCGUAAACUCCUUUAGUCCCACAUAAUGUGGGAAAAAUAAACUUCUGCUAACUACGUGCCAGAAGCCUCGGUAAUACGUGGGAAGUGAGCGUUAUCCGGAUUUAUUGGGCGUAAAGCGUUCCGUAGGUGGUUUGUCACAUCCUAUUUCAAAUACCCCGGCUCAACUGGGGAAAGGGGUAGGAGAUGAGCAAGCUGGAGUUAGGCCGGGGAUGUUGGAAUUCACGGUGGAGCAGUGAAAUGCGUUGAUAUCGUGAAGAACACCAAGGGCGAAGGCGAACAUCUAGGCCUUAUCUGACACUGAGGGACGAAAGCUAGGGGAGCGAAAGGGAUUAGAUACCCGGNUANUC
This 432-nucleotide ribosomal RNA is filed under the name uncultured bacterium. RNAcentral's name for it is "bacterial SSU rRNA". It matches the Rfam family "Bacterial small subunit ribosomal RNA", at positions 338 to 795 of the family's 1533-position model. The record is from RNAcentral.